UCAACGCUGGCGGCGUGCCUAACACAUGCAAGUCGAGCGCGAAAGUGGGCUUCGGCUCACGAGUAGAGCGGCGAACGGGUGAGUAACGCGUGGGUGAUCUGCCUCCGAGUGGGGAAUAACACUGGGAAACUGGUGCUAAUACCGCAUGACAUCCUCGGUUCGUUCCGAGGAUCAAAGCUGGGGACCGCAAGGCCUGGCGCUUGGAGAGGAGCCCGCGUCCGAUUAGCUUGUUGGCGGGGUAAUGGCCCACCAAGGCUUCGAUCGGUAGCCGGCCUGAGAGGGCGGACGGCCACACUGGGACUGAGACACGGCCCAGACUCAUACGGGAGGCAGCAGUGGGGAAUUUUUCGCAAUGGGGGAAACCCUGACGAAGCAACGCCGCGUGGAGGAUGAAGGCCCUCGGGUCGUAAACUCCUGUCGAUCGGGAAGAAUGCACUCGGCCGAAUACGCCGUUGUGUUGACUGUACCGGUGGAGGAAGCCACGGCUAACUCU
Molecule: ribosomal RNA, 493 nt
Filed under: uncultured bacterium
Lineage: Bacteria
Description: bacterial SSU rRNA
Rfam family: Bacterial small subunit ribosomal RNA
Source: RNAcentral